Molecule: transfer RNA, 69 nt
Filed under: Bacillus thuringiensis
Lineage: Bacteria; Bacillati; Bacillota; Bacilli; Caryophanales; Bacillaceae
Description: tRNA-Met
Rfam family: tRNA
About the family: Transfer RNA (tRNA) molecules are approximately 80 nucleotides in length.
Source: RNAcentral
GGCGGUGUAGCUCAGCUGGCUAGAGCGUACGGUUCAUACCCGUGAGGUCGGGGGUUCGAUCCCCUCCGC